CUCUUCUUAAUUCUAUUUUUGGAAUGAGCUUGUGGAAAUAUGGACCUGAUGUGAUGGAUGCUUUGCUUGAGCUGAUUAUUGCCUUGGCUGCUUCAAAUGGAAAGUAUGUUGAUUCAUGCUUGGAUAUGCUCGUAAGCAAUUUCAUGCCACCAAUGUAUUUAGUAAAUACGCUAAAGCAGCCACGUGGUCUGGCAAAAAAGGAACAAGUUCUUUCCCGGGUGCAUACAGCUCUGGAAGGUAUUGUUGACUUGAUACCUAUGGCAGCCUCUAGAUUAUCAUCAGUAGUUGUACACAGGAUGCCAACAACCUUUAAGAAGGAUCUUCAGAAGGAUCAUCUAAUGUAUCGAACUGAGGUCUAUGUGGAGAACAUUUUAAGAUUAGAGAGUGGUGCAAUCAGAGAAUUUGUUGGAAGCAGGAUGCUUAUGGCAGUGGUUGAUAUGCUGAUAGAGUUGGAUGUGUCUAUUGGUUGGGAUGACAUUUUUCGAGAUGACUCUUGUAAAGGCAUCUUUGCCAUUGAGCUAGAAGAUGUGGAUGAUAUUGCUGCUGCUGAUGAUGAUGGCGAUGAAGAGAUUGAUAAUGGCGAGCUUCCUGCAACUUUAAGUCAGAGGAGCUUGGGUAAAAACAUCGUUGCUGAUUUAUUGGAUAGCAUGAUGGUGCAAGUAUUUGAGCAUCUUGAAUCUUGUGCAAACAACAAGCGUUUGAGUGAGGUAUUUGAAACUCUCCUGGACUCAUUUAUGCUAACUAUCCUGAACACUUACAAGUCAAAGUUUGCUCAGUUUGUCAUGUUCUAUGCUUGUGCACUGGAUCCUGAGAACUGUGGUGUGAAAUUUGCCAUAAUGCUUGUGGAUAGGUUUGUUUUCGGUGACAACCCACUUACCAGGAUGAGUGCUGUGGCUUAUCUUGCUAGUUA
This 910-nucleotide unclassified non-coding RNA is filed under the name Hevea brasiliensis (rubber tree). The record is from RNAcentral. Lineage: Eukaryota; Viridiplantae; Streptophyta; Magnoliopsida; Malpighiales; Euphorbiaceae.